This 1024-nucleotide long non-coding RNA is filed under the name Dromaius novaehollandiae (emu). RNAcentral describes it as "lncRNA (ENSDNVG00000015011.1)". The record is from RNAcentral. Lineage: Eukaryota; Metazoa; Chordata; Aves; Casuariiformes; Dromaiidae.
AGCUGUGGGGGCAGCGGGGCAGGAGUUGCGAGAGCCCCAUGGCAGGGCAGAGGGGCCACAGAGUGUUUCAGAGCGUCGGCCCUGGCCUAACUGUAUCCGGUCUAUGGCCAGAAGAGGAAAAAUCUGUGCACUGAGCACAUGGCCUCCUGAGCUCCAGUCUCAGCUCCCAGCGACAGGCUUUGAACUUGGUUACAACUGGGGGAAUUCUAAGGAAUCCAGGUCUCCUUGUAAUGGUGUUAAACUGCAUUGUGAUCUCUGAACAAAGGAAAUCACUGAGGCGUUGCUGACUUGCCAAACUCAGAGCAGCAAGGAAGGAAACCACUGCAGAUGAGGAGGCAUGAAGUCUCCAGCUUCCCUUUUCAACAACUGUGGAGAUCAUAGCCAUAAUAACUGCUGAUUAUUAAUGUAUCUUGUCUGCUUGAUGCAACAUCGYGCUAAUGAUGGGAGAGGGCUUGAUGUGCCUCUUAGCAAGGACAACUUGAGAGCAUAAAAUGUCCAAACAAAAAGCAAACUGUAACUGCCCUUAAUAUGAAAUGUAGCCUGUAAAGACUACAGAUCCCAGCAGGGUUCGGAGACACCUCGCCCCAAGAUGCAGCACUGCAUGCUGGAACUUGUAGUGUGCUCAGGCUGCAUCUCCACCGCUGGCCCCCCUUGUAGACCUGUGUGCGGUUAGCCACCUCGCUAGCUUGGGGUGCCUGUGCUGCAUUUGAUGGACCACAAGCCUCAGUAUUACCCUGGAUUUUUUUAAAUCUGUUUUUGUGCUCUGCAUAUGUCUAAAGUAAUACUGACACCACCACACUUCUAAGAAACAAAAUAGUCACUUUGUCUUUCACAUAAAGAAAACCCACUGCUCUCUGUAUUUACAUUUCUAAUAUAGUUGUGCGUAGAGAUGAUUUGUUCAUAAUUAAGGCUUCUUUCUUCAAAGUCUUUUGAAAUUUAUUUCUUCAAGCCAAUUCUUAAUAUUAAAACUAAAUUCUUCCAAGCUACCAAUAAAAUGUCAACUGUGAUUAAAGUCUGACUCCUU